Medicago truncatula (barrel medic) is the source of this 70-nucleotide small nucleolar RNA. It matches the Rfam family "Small nucleolar RNA Z105". From Rfam's summary of the family: This family consists of several snoRNA Z105 sequences which are members of the C/D class of snoRNA which contain the C (UGAUGA) and D (CUGA) box motifs. This family seems to be found exclusively in plants. NCBI's taxonomy places the organism in Eukaryota, Viridiplantae, Streptophyta, Magnoliopsida, Fabales, Fabaceae. The record is from Rfam.
GCACUAUGAUGAUUGAUUUUAUUGUCAUAUGAUAUUUUAUAUGAUUAAAAAAUCCUCCUACUCAUUCUGA